This 720-nucleotide ribosomal RNA is filed under the name uncultured bacterium. RNAcentral describes it as "bacterial SSU rRNA". It matches the Rfam family "Bacterial small subunit ribosomal RNA", at positions 115 to 856 of the family's 1533-position model. The record is from RNAcentral.
GCGUGAGAAACCUGCCCCAAAGUCGGGAAUAACUCAGGGAAACUUGAGCUAAUACCGGAUGCCCUCUUCUGGCCGCAUGUCAGAUGAGGAAAGAUUUAUCGCUUUGGGAGGGUCUCGCGACCUAUCAGCUAGUUGGUGAGGUAACGGCUCACCAAGGCAUCGACGGGUAGCUGGUUUGAGAGAACGAUCAGCCACAUUGGAACUGAGACACGGUCCAAACUCCUACGGGAGGCAGCAGUGGGGAAUCUUGCACAAUGGGCGAAAGUGAUGCAGCGACGCCGCGUGGGGGAUGAAGGCCCUAGGGUCGUAAACCCCUUUCAGUAGGGACGAAAAUAACGGUACCUACAGAAGAAGCUCCGGCCAACUACGUGCCAGCAGCCGCGGUAAGACGUAGGGGGCGAGCGUUGUCCGGAUUUAUUGGGCGUAAAGGGCUCGUAGGCGGUUACGUAAGUCGGAUGUGAAAACUCCAGGCUCAACUUGGAGACGCCAUCCGAUACUGCGUUGACUUGAGUCCGGUAGAGGAGUGUGGAAUUCCUAGUGUAGCGGUGAAAUGCGCAGAUAUUAGGAGGAACACCUAUUGCGAAGCAGCACUCUGGGCCGGUACUGACGCUGAGGAGCGAAAGAUGGGUAGCAAACAGGAUUAGAUACCCUGGUAGUCCAUGCCGUAAACGGUGGGCACUAGAUGUGGGGACUUUCAACGGUUUCCGUGUCGUAGCUAAC